Molecule: transfer RNA, 77 nt
Filed under: bacterium
Lineage: Bacteria
Also listed under: 4 other names
Description: tRNA-Pro
Rfam family: tRNA
About the family: Transfer RNA (tRNA) molecules are approximately 80 nucleotides in length. Their secondary structure includes four short double-helical elements and three loops (D, anti-codon, and T loops).
Source: RNAcentral
CGGGGUGUAGCUCAGUUGGCUAGAGUACGCGCUUUGGGAGCGUGGGGUCGGAGGUUCGAGUCCUCUCACCCCGACCA